CUACACCACAGUGCCAGCAAGUCCUACUGUACUUUCCUGCUGCCAGAUGCUACAGGAGAAAUACUUCCAGAGAAUAUUUCAGUGAAAUCAGGUAAAAAGUAGAACAUUGAUAUGAAAAAUACCACCACUCAGGAAUUAACUGAGAAAUGUGAUUUAAAAUACAGCCCCUGCACCUGGCUCCCUCCAACCAAGGGGAUGAAAUCCAGCACUGCAAACGCAGCACUUACUGCCAGCAUCCGAGUGCAGACACUCA
Ficedula albicollis (Collared flycatcher) is the source of this 253-nucleotide long non-coding RNA. RefSeq lists it as uncharacterized. The transcript has 3 exons. The record is from RefSeq and is a predicted model, not a curated record. NCBI's taxonomy places the organism in Eukaryota, Metazoa, Chordata, Aves, Passeriformes, Muscicapidae.